Long non-coding RNA from Oreochromis niloticus (Nile tilapia), 300 nucleotides. RefSeq lists it as uncharacterized. The record is from RefSeq and is a predicted model, not a curated record. The transcript has 2 exons. Lineage: Eukaryota; Metazoa; Chordata; Actinopteri; Cichliformes; Cichlidae.
CAACGGGGGCUGUGGAAGCUGGGGAGACGAGCUGAGAGAGCUCCGGCAGGGCGUCAGCCAGCGGCCUCAUGUCUCCCACUACAGGAGUGGCCUGUCUCCGGACCUCAGCUGCUUGGAGCUCUUUCGCCUGCUUGAUGGAGCUGAUCUCUGAGAAACAGCAGCGAAAUUAUUACAGAUAGUCAACUAAAUACUCCACAGCUGAUGACAAAGAUUAAAGGACCACCUGCCAGGAUUCAUUCUUCUGUCAAACAGCUGAGCCCCAGUGAUGUGGAAACAAACCAAUAAAGUAUGUACUGCAUA